Molecule: unclassified non-coding RNA, 360 nt
Filed under: soil metagenome
Description: partial contains 5.8S ribosomal RNA, internal transcribed spacer 2, and large subunit ribosomal RNA
Rfam family: 5.8S ribosomal RNA (bases 1-120)
Source: RNAcentral
GAUGAAGAACGCAGCGAAAUGCGAUAAGUAAUGUGAAUUGCAGAAUUCAGUGAAUCAUCGAAUCUUUGAACGCACCUUGCGCUCCUUGGUAUUCCGAGGAGCAUGCCUGUUUGAGUGUCAUUAAUAUAUCAACCUUCACUUGUUGAAUGGUUUGGAUGUGGGGGUUUGCUGGUCUCUUAAAGGGUUCAGCUCCUCUAAAAUGCAUUAGCAGAACAAUCUGUUCAUUGGUGUGAUAACUAUCUACGCUCUUGAAUAAGAUGCAGUUCAGCUUUCUAACUGUCCUCGGACAAUUUAUCAUUUAUGUGACCCCAAAUCAGGUAGGACUACCCGCUGAACUUAAGCAUAUCAAUAAGCGGAGGA